This 497-nucleotide ribosomal RNA is filed under the name uncultured bacterium. RNAcentral describes it as "partial 16S ribosomal RNA". It matches the Rfam family "Bacterial small subunit ribosomal RNA", at positions 28 to 507 of the family's 1533-position model. The record is from RNAcentral.
GAUGAACGCUGCCGGCGUCCCUAAUCCAUGCAAGUCGACCGCACGAAAGAGAAGCUUGGCUCUUUCAUGUUAGCGGUGGACGGCUGAGGAACACGUGGACAACAUCCCUUUUAGAGUGGGAUAACUCGGGGGCAAAGUAACUCAAAUCCGAUAAUCGUCCGACCGGCAUGAUUAAAAGGUGAUCGGAGCUCUCGCGAUUACUUAUGCAUAGAUCGGAGCGGCAUUAGCUAGGGGGAAAGGUAAAGGCUCACCAAGGCGACGAUGCGUAGCCGACCUGAGAGGAUGAUCGGCCACACUGGAACUGAGACACGGUCCAGACUCCUACGGGAGGCAGCAGUAGGGAAUCUUCCGCAAUGGGCGAAAGCCUGACGGAGCAAUGCCGCGUGAGUGAUGAAGGCCUUCGGAUCGUAAAACUCUGUUAUUAGGAAAGAACAUAUGCGUAAUAAUCUGUGCACAUCUUGACGGUACCUAAACAAAAAGCCACGGCUAACUACGUG